RNAcentral lists this long non-coding RNA (1009 nucleotides) under Anas platyrhynchos (mallard). RNAcentral's name for it is "lncRNA (ENSAPLG00020003461.1)". The record is from RNAcentral. Lineage: Eukaryota; Metazoa; Chordata; Aves; Anseriformes; Anatidae.
GAACAGUGAAAGGCCUUGUACAGUUUCCCUGUACCUUGGUUUUCUCCAAGGAAAAUAGUUAAUAACUGGUCAGAAUGGGAGGUUGUUUUUUAUUCAAAACCUUAAAAAUCUUGGCUUAAGAGAAAUAGAAGUAAAAACUCUUUAAGUUUUUUGUUCUUGCUUUCUAGUAGGACAGAGUGGAUCGGCCAGCACUGUGUAUUGAUCCGGUGAGAGAAAAGAAAAAAAGGAAUAUUACGGAGACACAAUUACAUGCAACUUGCAGAGCUGUCCUGUUUUCCUAUUUUAAACUAGUUUGUUGAAAUUUGUCUAAAAAUCCGAACAAAAACACAAUUUAGUUUAUCCCAGAUCCAUUAGGAAGACAUUAAGCUAAAGAAAAUUAAAGCCACUAUUCAAACAAAGGCAGGGAAUUAGACCCCAUGCAGACAAAGCCGGUAGGGAAGCCGGACACCAGUUCAGCAAAGUUGUCUUGAGGGCUAAAGCUUCACCUUGUCAAUUCUUAGCUCUUACUAAAUUCUUUCUUUCUAAAUCCAGAGAGAAUACACCGAGAACAAUUCAGAUCACCUGUGCCAUUACUGAGGAUUAAGGAGCAAAGAGUCUACAUCAUUUCUUAAUUAGAAGUCGAGGGGAAUGGGAUUGGGGCAUCAUUAAGCAAACAAAGCAAAGCGCCCGGUACAAUAGGUGUGCAAGUCAGUGACUGGCUCUGGCCCAUGAAAGCAAGGCAAACUCUACACAAGAAGCCCUGUACAGGUCUCCAAGCACUUGGACUGCAAUGCUUCCAGCUCCCCUGGGCCCAGCAGCGUGAACCCAGCUGGGGAUAGCCCUGGAGGUCUGAAGAGGAGAAAAUGCUUUGGAUGCCACCAAGGGAGCAGGCACUGGUUGCUGCUGGAAGAUGGCACAUCUCUCACACAGCUCUGCCUGUGUAAUGCUGCCUGAUUUGCGUAGGACCUAAUCCAUGAGCACCACCUCGAAAAUACCAAGCAGCCCCAACACCCUUUAAAAGACAGCCGGA